Molecule: ribosomal RNA, 1449 nt
Filed under: candidate division WWE3 bacterium CG_4_10_14_0_2_um_filter_47_8
Lineage: Bacteria; candidate division WWE3
Also listed under: 2 other names
Description: bacterial SSU rRNA
Rfam family: Bacterial small subunit ribosomal RNA
Source: RNAcentral
AUAUGAGAGUUUGAUCCUGGCUCAGGAUGAACGCUCGCGGCGUGCCUAAGGUAUGCAAGUCGACCGUGAGCCCCGCGCAAGCGGGGUCGAACGGGGCGAACGGGUGAGUAAUGCGUAGGAAUCUGCCCCUGUCUCGGGGAUAACCCGCCGAAAGGCGGGCUAAUAACCGAUGGUCCCGCAAGGGUAAAGCUUCGGUGGACAGGGAGGAGCCUGCGUCCUAUCAGCUAGUUGGCAGGGUAAUAGCCUACCAAGGCGAUGACGGGUAGCUGGUGUGAGAGCACGUCCAGCCACAAGGGCACUGAGACAAGGGCCCUACUCCUACGGGAGGCAGCAAUUAGGAAUCUUGCGCAAUGGGGGAAACCCUGACGCAGCGACGCCGCGUGGAGGAUGAAGGUCGUGAGACUGUAAACUCCUUAAUUCGCCGUAAGGCGGAGGAUAAAGUCCCGGCUAACUACGUGCCAGCAGCAGCGGUGAAACGUAGGGGGUAAGCGUUAUCCGGAUUUAUUGGGCGUAAAGAGUGUGCAGGCGGUCAGGUAAGUUCUCCGUUAAAGCCCCCCGCUCAACGGGGGAACUGCGGGGAAUACUGCUUGACUUGAGGGAGGUAGGGGCUGUCGGAACUCGGAGAGGAGGGGUGAAAUCUUAUGAUCCUUCGAGGAACACCAAAGGCGAAGGCAGACAGCUGGGCCUUUCCUGACGCUGAGGCACGAAAGCUAGGGGAGCAAAACGGAUUAGAUACCCGUGUAGUCCUAGCUGUAAACGAUCCCCGCUAGAUUUCGGCGUUUGCCGGAGUCGAAGCUAACGCAUUAAGCGGGGCGCCUGGGGAGUACGGCCGCAAGGCUAAAACUCAAAGGAAUUGACGGGGACCCGCACAAGCAGCGUCGCAUGUGGUUUAAUUCGAUGAUAACCGAAAGACCUUACCAGGGCUUGACAUGCAGGUGGUAGUGACUCGAAAGGGAAGCGACCCGCAAGGGAGCCUGCACAGGUGUUGCAUGGCUGUCGUCAGCUCGUGCCGUGAGGUGUAUGCUUAAGUGCCGAAACGAGCGCAACCCCCACCCUAUGUUAAAAAUGUCAUAGGGAACUGCCUCGGCAACGAGGAGGAAGGUGGGGAUGACGUCAAGUCAGUAUGGCCCUUAUGCCCUGGGCCACACACAUGCGGUAAUGGCAGCUACAACGGGUAGCAAUGUGGCAACGCAGAGCUAAUCUCUUAAAAGCUGUCUCAGUUCAGAUUGCGGGCUGCAACUCGCCCGCAUGAAGUGGAGUUGCUAGUAAUGGCCGGUCAGCUAUACGGCCGUGAAUACGUUCUCGGGUCUUGUACACACCGCCCGUCAACUGGGGAAAGUUGAGGCCAUCCGAAUCCCGCCUUAGGCGGGGCAAGAUGGAAUCAGCGAUCAACAGUAAGUCGUAACAAGGUAGCCGUAGGGGAAUCUGCGGCUGGAUCACCUCCUUUCU